Molecule: non-coding RNA, 228 nt
Filed under: Planococcus sp. (in: firmicutes)
Lineage: Bacteria; Bacillati; Bacillota; Bacilli; Caryophanales; Caryophanaceae
Description: Planococcus sp. T-box sequence
Rfam family: T-box leader
About the family: Uncharged tRNA acts as the effector for transcription antitermination of genes in the T-box leader family. T-boxes are found upstream of many aminoacyl-tRNA synthetase genes and some amino acid biosynthetic genes usually in Gram-positive bacteria. The anticodon of a specific tRNA base pairs to a specifier sequence within the T-box motif, and the NCCA acceptor tail of the tRNA base pairs to a conserved bulge in the T-box antiterminator hairpin.
Source: RNAcentral
GUAAAAGCGAAGAUUGGGAAAAGUAUGUUGCGCCCUUACAUUACAGAGAUUCUGCACCUUGACUGGAAGUGUGGAUAUGUAAACGCCUCAGAAGUUCACCCCGCGAGCUGCCUAACGGGACCAGUAGAAAUACUGUAAAGAUAGGCCGGUGAAGAGCCGUUAUGUAAACAAGUGAUUGCUAAUUUGCAAUAACUAGGGUGGUACCGCGAAUAAUGCCUCGUCCCUUUU